RNAcentral lists this non-coding RNA (23 nucleotides) under Cricetulus griseus (Chinese hamster). Lineage: Eukaryota; Metazoa; Chordata; Mammalia; Rodentia; Cricetidae. The record is from RNAcentral.
CAGAUUUCUUUGUUCCUUCUCCA